CCUACGGGAGGCAGCAGUGAGGAAUAUUGGUCAAUGGUCGCAGGGCUGAACCAGCCAAGUCGCGUGAGGGAUGACGGUCCUAUGGAUUGUAAACCUCUUUUGUCAGGGAGCAAAGGGCGCCACGUGUGGCGCUUUGCGAGUACCUGAAGAAAAAGCAUCGGCUAACUCCGUGCCAGCAGCCGCGGUAAUACGGAGGAUGCGAGCGUUAUCCGGAUUUAUUGGGUUUAAAGGGUGCGCAGGCGGAAUGUCAAGUCAGCGGUAAAAUUUCGGGGCUCAACCCCGUCGUGCCGUUGAAACUGGCGUUCUUGAGUGAGCGAGAAGUAUGCGGAAUGCGUGGUGUAGCGGUGAAAUGCAUAGAUAUCACGCAGAACUCCGAUUGCGAAGGCAGCAUACCGGCGCUCAACUGACGCUCAUGCACGAAAGCGUGGGUAUCGAACAGGAUUAGAUACCCCGGUAGUC
This 459-nucleotide ribosomal RNA is filed under the name uncultured bacterium. RNAcentral describes it as "partial 16S ribosomal RNA". It matches the Rfam family "Bacterial small subunit ribosomal RNA", at positions 338 to 795 of the family's 1533-position model. The record is from RNAcentral.